Molecule: ribosomal RNA, 371 nt
Filed under: uncultured bacterium
Lineage: Bacteria
Description: bacterial SSU rRNA
Rfam family: Bacterial small subunit ribosomal RNA
Source: RNAcentral
ACGUAGGGUGCAAGCGUUAAUCGGAAUUACUGGGCGUAAAGCGUGCGCAGGCGGUUAUGUAAGUCAGCUGUGAAAUCCCCGGGCUUAACCUGGGAAUGGCAGUUGAGACUGCAUGGCUAGAGUGUGUCAGAGGGGGGUAGAAUUCCACGUGUAGCAGUGAAAUGCGUAGAGAUGUGGAGGAAUACCGAUGGCGAAGGCAGCCCCCUGGGAUAACACUGACGCUCAUGCACGAAAGCGUGGGGAGCAAACAGGAUUAGAUACCCUGGUAGUCCACGCCCUAAACGAUGUCUACUAGUUGUCGGGUCUUAAUUGACUUGGUAACGCAGCUAACGCGUGAAGUAGACCGCCUGGGGAGUACGGUCGCAAGAUUA